AAAAAAAAAACCUACUUACGAGGGUUCCCGAGCAACAAGAGUGACAUUUCAGUGUUGAGAUGUGAUCAGAGUUCGCGUAUCGGCCGCUGCCUUGGAAACUUCCACUGGCCGCGUCUAUCAUCUCAGAUUGCGCACAUCGCAAAAGUGACAAAAAGCUGGGUUGGAAGGUUGCUUUCGCCGGCGCUCCCCGGCGCGACCAUAGUUCUCUCCACUACAUGAGAGCCGGUCGGCCUCGGCCGGCUCCGCAGCACGGCGCCCGCGGCCUUCGAGCCGACACUGGGUGCGAGGCGGUAAGGGUGUUUUCACGACCCUCCGUAUUACCGACGACUCCGAUGGAGAGAGCGUCAGACACGCGGAACCUGUUUUCCGUCGUGGCGAGGAAAAUCUCGGAAGCGUUGCACAGCGUGCUCGGUGACGAGCUUCGCUGACCCAGCAUCGUGGCGAGGAGCGAGCCUGCCGCGCCCUUCAAGCCUACGGGCGGGGUGCGUGCUUGCGUGCAACUCGGACCAGAUGCAGAAAUGGCCUUUCGGCCAGCAAAAACUUGGCUUUACCUGGUUGAUCCUGCCAGUAGUCAUAUGCUUGUCUCAAAGAUUAAGCCAUGCAUGUCUAAGUGCAUGCCGAACUAAGGCGAAACCGCGAAUGGCUCAUUAAAUCAGUUAUGGUUCCUUAGAUUGUUUCUACCUACUUGGAUAACUGUGGCAAUUCUAGAGCUAAUACAUGCAGUGAGCCCGAAGCCGUUAGGUGACGGGUGCUUUUAUUAGACCAAGAUCAAACGGGCCUCGGUCCGUGUGUGUGGUGACUCUGGAUAACUUUGGCUGAUCGCUAAGGCCACGAGCCGGCGACAAUUCUUUCAAGUGUCUGCCUUAUCAACUGUCGAUGGUAGGUUAUGCGCCUACCAUGGUCGUUACGGGUAACGGAGAAUCAGGGUUCGAUUCCGGAGAGGGAGCCUGAGAAACGGCUACCACAUCCAAGGAAGGCAGCAGGCGCGCAAAUUACCCACUCCCGGCACGGGGAGGUAGUGACGAAAAAUAACAAUACGGGACUCUUUUGAGGCCCCGUAAUUGAAAUGAGUACACUCUAAAUCCUUUAACGAGGAUCAAUUGGAGGGCAAGUCUGGUGCCAGCAGCCGCGGUAAUUCCAGCUCCAAUAGCGUAUACUAAAGUUGCUGCGGUUAAAAAGCUCGUAGUUGGAUCUCAGUUCCAGGCGGGUUGUGCAUCCACUCGAUGUUUACGACCCGCACUGAACAUCUUACCCGCUGUCUCUUGGUGCCCUUCAUUGGUGUGCCUCGAGGUGGCCGGUGCAUUUACUUUGAAAAAAUUAGAGUGCUCAACGCAGGCGAACGUCCUGAAUAACAGUGCAUGGAAUAAUAGAACAAGACCUUGUUUCUGUUCUGUUGGUUUUUGGAAAACGAGGUAAUGAUUAAGAGGGACGGACGGGGGCAUUCGUAUUGCGGCGCUAGAGGUGAAAUUCUUGGACCGUCGCAAGACGAACUACUGCGAAAGCAUUUGCCAAGAAUGUUUUCAUUGAUCAAGAACGAAAGUCAGAGGUUCGAAGGCGAUCAGAUACCGCCCUAGUUCUGACCAUAAACGAUGCCAACUAGCGAUCCGCCUGAGUUACUCAAAUGACUCGGCGGGCAGCUUCCGGGAAACCAAAGUAUUUGGGUUCCGGGGGAAGUAUGGUUGCAAAGCUGAAACUUAAAGGAAUUGACGGAAGGGCACCACCAGGAGUGGAGCCUGCGGCUUAAUUUGACUCAACACGGGAAAUCUCACCCGGCCCGGACACUGGAAGGAUUGACAGAUUGAGAGCUCUUUCUUGAUUCGGUGGAUGGUGGUGCAUGGCCGUUCUUAGUUGGUGGAGCGAUUUGUCUGGUUAAUUCCGAUAACGAACGAGACUCUAGCCUAUUAAAUAGGUGCGAGGUUCUCUGCACCUUACAACCUUCUUAGAGGGACAAGCGGCUUCUAGCCGCACGAAACAGAGCAAUAACAGGUCUGUGAUGCCCUUAGAUGUCCGGGGCCGCACGCGCGCUACACUGAAGGAAGCAGCGUGUAUUUGCCCCUGUCUGCAAAGACUGGGUAACCCGUGGAACCUCCUUCGUGAUUGGGAUAGGGGCUUGAAAUUGUUCCCCUUGAACGAGGAAUUCCCAGUAAGCGCGAGUCAUAAGCUCGCGUUGAUUACGUCCCUGCCCUUUGUACACACCGCCCGUCGCUACUACCGAUUGAAUGAUUUAGUGAGGUCUUCAAACUGGCGCUCGGAGCGUCCUUUCGGUCGCGCCGGCGUGCUGGGAAGAUGACCAAACUUGAUCAUUUAGAGGAAGUAAAAGUCGUAACAAGGUUUCCGUAGGUGAACCUGCGGAAGGAUCAUUAUCGAAAAAGAGGGACUCCUCUCGUUGCAGCCUGAAAAAGAGAGCGAGGACCGAUCGAUACUGACGGCAGGACAGUGGCACGUCUUGAAGUGCGGUCUUGCUUCGUAGGCGUCCGUGCGGACGAGCCUCCGCUGUCGGGGCUCGAAUGCGGGUUAAAGGCGCUUACAACCAUUGGUAGC
This 2541-nucleotide ribosomal RNA is filed under the name Nuttalliella namaqua. RNAcentral describes it as "SSU rRNA". The stretch from base 549 to 2363 matches the Rfam family "Eukaryotic small subunit ribosomal RNA". The record is from RNAcentral. Lineage: Eukaryota; Metazoa; Arthropoda; Arachnida; Ixodida; Nuttalliellidae.